UCGUUAGAUCACCGAAGUCAAUCAUCAUUGGACGCGGUCAGUACUUGGGUGGGUGACCACCUGGGAACACCGAGUGCCGUUG
This 82-nucleotide ribosomal RNA is filed under the name Caerostris darwini. Lineage: Eukaryota; Metazoa; Arthropoda; Arachnida; Araneae; Araneidae. The record is from RNAcentral.